RNAcentral lists this ribosomal RNA (2729 nucleotides) under Escherichia coli 6-537-08_S1_C3. Its description in RNAcentral is "bacterial LSU rRNA". It matches the Rfam family "Bacterial large subunit ribosomal RNA". Lineage: Bacteria; Pseudomonadati; Pseudomonadota; Gammaproteobacteria; Enterobacterales; Enterobacteriaceae. The record is from RNAcentral.
GAGGCGAACCGGGGGAACUGAAACAUCUAAGUACCCCGAGGAAAAGAAAUCAACCGAGAUUCCCCCAGUAGCGGCGAGCGAACGGGGAGCAGCCCAGAGUCUGAAUCAGUGUGUGUGUUAGUGGAAGCGUCUGGAAAGGCGCGCGAUACAGGGUGACAGCCCCGUACACAAAAAUGCACAUAUUGUGAGCUCGAUGAGUAGGGCGGGACACGUGGUAUCCUGUCUGAAUAUGGGGGGACCAUCCUCCAAGGCUAAAUACUCCUGACUGACCGAUAGUGAACCAGUACCGUGAGGGAAAGGCGAAAAGAACCCCGGCGAGGGGAGUGAAAAAGAACCUGAAACCGUGUACGUACAAGCAGUGGGAGCCUCUUUUAUGGGGUGACUGCGUACCUUUUGUAUAAUGGGUCAGCGACUUAUAUUCUGUAGCAAGGUUAACCGAAUAGGGGAGCCGAAGGGAAACCGAGUCUUAACUGGGCGUUAAGUUGCAGGGUAUAGACCCGAAACCCGGUGAUCUAGCCAUGGGCAGGUUGAAGGUUGGGUAACACUAACUGGAGGACCGAACCGACUAAUGUUGAAAAAUUAGCGGAUGACUUGUGGCUGGGGGUGAAAGGCCAAUCAAACCGGGAGAUAGCUGGUUCUCCCCGAAAGCUAUUUAGGUAGCGCCUCGUGAAUUCAUCUCCGGGGGUAGAGCACUGUUUCGGCAAGGGGGUCAUCCCGACUUACCAACCCGAUGCAAACUGCGAAUACCGGAGAAUGUUAUCACGGGAGACACACGGCGGGUGCUAACGUCCGUCGUGAAGAGGGAAACAACCCAGACCGCCAGCUAAGGUCCCAAAGUCAUGGUUAAGUGGGAAACGAUGUGGGAAGGCCCAGACAGCCAGGAUGUUGGCUUAGAAGCAGCCAUCAUUUAAAGAAAGCGUAAUAGCUCACUGGUCGAGUCGGCCUGCGCGGAAGAUGUAACGGGGCUAAACCAUGCACCGAAGCUGCGGCAGCGACGCUUAUGCGUUGUUGGGUAGGGGAGCGUUCUGUAAGCCUGUGAAGGUGUGCUGUGAGGCAUGCUGGAGGUAUCAGAAGUGCGAAUGCUGACAUAAGUAACGAUAAAGCGGGUGAAAAGCCCGCUCGCCGGAAGACCAAGGGUUCCUGUCCAACGUUAAUCGGGGCAGGGUGAGUCGACCCCUAAGGCGAGGCCGAAAGGCGUAGUCGAUGGGAAACAGGUUAAUAUUCCUGUACUUGGUGUUACUGCGAAGGGGGGACGGAGAAGGCUAUGUUGGUCGGGCGACGGUUGUCCCGGUUUAAGCGUGUAGGCUGGUUUUCCAGGCAAAUCCGGAAAAUCAAGGCUGAGGCGUGAUGACGAGGCACUACGGUGCUGAAGCAACAAAUGCCCUGCUUCCAGGAAAAGCCUCUAAGCAUCAGGUAACAUCAAAUCGUACCCCAAACCGACACAGGUGGUCAGGUAGAGAAUACCAAGGCGCUUGAGAGAACUCGGGUGAAGGAACUAGGCAAAAUGGUGCCGUAACUUCGGGAGAAGGCACGCUGAUAUGUAGGUGAAGUCCCUCGCGGAUGGAGCUGAAAUCAGUCGAAGAUACCAGCUGGCUGCAACUGUUUAUUAAAAACACAGCACUGUGCAAACACGAAAGUGGACGUAUACGGUGUGACGCCUGCCCGGUGCCGGAAGGUUAAUUGAUGGGGUCAGCGCAAGCGAAGCUCUUGAUCGAAGCCCCGGUAAACGGCGGCCGUAACUAUAACGGUCCUAAGGUAGCGAAAUUCCUUGUCGGGUAAGUUCCGACCUGCACGAAUGGCGUAAUGAUGGCCAGGCUGUCUCCACCCGAGACUCAGUGAAAUUGAACUCGCUGUGAAGAUGCAGUGUACCCGCGGCAAGACGGAAAGACCCCGUGAACCUUUACUAUAGCUUGACACUGAACAUUGAGCCUUGAUGUGUAGGAUAGGUGGGAGGCUUUGAAGUGUGGACGCCAGUCUGCAUGGAGCCGACCUUGAAAUACCACCCUUUAAUGUUUGAUGUUCUAACGUUGACCCGUAAUCCGGGUUGCGGACAGUGUCUGGUGGGUAGUUUGACUGGGGCGGUCUCCUCCUAAAGAGUAACGGAGGAGCACGAAGGUUGGCUAAUCCUGGUCGGACAUCAGGAGGUUAGUGCAAUGGCAUAAGCCAGCUUGACUGCGAGCGUGACGGCGCGAGCAGGUGCGAAAGCAGGUCAUAGUGAUCCGGUGGUUCUGAAUGGAAGGGCCAUCGCUCAACGGAUAAAAGGUACUCCGGGGAUAACAGGCUGAUACCGCCCAAGAGUUCAUAUCGACGGCGGUGUUUGGCACCUCGAUGUCGGCUCAUCACAUCCUGGGGCUGAAGUAGGUCCCAAGGGUAUGGCUGUUCGCCAUUUAAAGUGGUACGCGAGCUGGGUUUAGAACGUCGUGAGACAGUUCGGUCCCUAUCUGCCGUGGGCGCUGGAGAACUGAGGGGGGCUGCUCCUAGUACGAGAGGACCGGAGUGGACGCAUCACUGGUGUUCGGGUUGUCAUGCCAAUGGCACUGCCCGGUAGCUAAAUGCGGAAGAGAUAAGUGCUGAAAGCAUCUAAGCACGAAACUUGCCCCGAGAUGAGUUCUCCCUGACCCUUUAAGGGUCCUGAAGGAACGUUGAAGACGACGACGUUGAUAGGCCGGGUGUGUAAGCGCAGCGAUGCGUUGAGCUAACCGGUACUAAUGAACCGUGAGGCUUAACCU